AAAGGCAGCCCUCCCCACGAUUCUCCCCGGCCAACCUCCCGCCGCCGCCUACUUGGCUCCGGCGCGCCUCCCCCGCUGCUCCACGGGUCCGGCGUGCUUCCCGCCUCCACCUAACUCCGGCCACCUACCGCCGUCGCGCUGCCGCGCGGGAUCGUGCCGUUGGGCGACAUCUUGCCGUCGCCGCUCGAGAUUCCGUCGCCGUUGGGCGACAUCUUGCCGCCGCCGCGCGAGGCCCGUCCGCCGCCGCAUCACCACCGCACUCCGCAGGACCGGCCACCCUCUCCCAUGUCGCUCAGUUCAACCUCGCUGGCCAACGCGGUCCACCACGUCGCCUGGAUUCCAAUCCAACCCGCCAUCCUGCUCGACCAAGUUCCUCCACCUGUCUCGGCUACUACCUGGACCACCACCUGCCCGGUCAUUGUGGCAUGUGGCUGCCCAGCACAUCGACGCCUGCAAGACAUAUUUGCAGGUGCAAAAAAGUUGGAUGUAGUGAUAUGUUCGUUCAGUUUCACAGGUCCUUCAAUAUAUGCAAAAAAGAGUUUUCUCCAAAAUGCAUCAACGCCGUGAAGUGCUAAUUCUUCUUGUGUGCUUCUGUAAAGCCUUGUGUUUCAGUCACCUCCAUGACGAACCAGCUCGUCCUAUUUUGCAGAAGCAAGUCGCACGAUAGUUUUUAGGCGGAAUGAAGUCCAGAGGAAGUUGCUAGCGGUGGUAGAACUUGGGAUUUGGGCACACAAGGAAGAAGACGAAAAAAGAAAAAUGGUGAGUUGGAGAUUGCAUGUUCGUUGCACCGAAGGAUAAUAUCAUUUAGGUUUUAGCUAGAUAACACCUAGUGGGGUAAAAAAAGCAUCGCUUUGUCCAAAAUCCGCUGGUCAACUUUUUGCUCUGUUUAAUGGUUUGGUUCACACACUAAAUUCUUGAUUGUUUCUUUAUGUAUGAGCAUCAGACUUGAUUUAAUUGUGACGUGGUUCACUGACAGUAAUUUUAUCAGUUCAAUAAUAUAUGUACAAGUUGACCUCCUAGCGAUAUAUAUGCAUAGGAAUUUUGUUCUCGGCUUUGUUUAUUGGUGCAUGCGAGAUGUUUUUCAUGUUAUGGACUACCGAAGUAGUUCAAAAAUCACUCACCACGAAGAGAACGGAUGAGCAACGCACAGGCCGUUCAACUUCGCCGCCUCAGGCCGUGCUACUCCGCCCAAAAAAGUUUGCCUACAAACUGUUCCGCCCAAGUGCUAUGCAGCCGGGCCGAGGGAGCAGUGCCAAGCUGCAGCCUUGAUGCUGUUGACAGCCACGUGCUCCAUCACGGGCGGUUCAAAAAUACUAAUGCUAGUCGGCCGUAUAGGUUCAGUAGUGGUAUAAUGCUUUUGGUCUUGAUGUUUGGCCGUACUUGAGGUUCCAUGCUUGAGGUUCAGCUUGGUACAGUAUAUGGGAGCAGUUUGGAUUUGGUAUUUUUCUACAAUUUGGCACCAUGUUAUAUGUAUUUUAAACUGCACAAAGUAUAUAACACUUAA
Molecule: RNA transcript, 1504 nt
Organism: Triticum dicoccoides
Lineage: Eukaryota; Viridiplantae; Streptophyta; Magnoliopsida; Poales; Poaceae
Exons: 4
Source: RefSeq, a predicted model, not a curated record